UGGGAUGACGUCAAGUCAUCAUGGCCCUUACGACCAGGGCUACACACGUGCUACAAUGGCGCAUACAAAGAGAAGCGACCUCGCGAGAGCAAGCGGACCUCAUAAAGUGCGUCGUAGUCCGGAUUGGAGUCUGCAACUCGACUCCAUGAAGUCGGAAUCGCUAGUAAUCGUGGAUCAGAAUGCCACGGUGAACUACGUUCCCGGGCCUU
This 209-nucleotide ribosomal RNA is filed under the name uncultured Enterobacteriaceae bacterium. RNAcentral's name for it is "partial 16S ribosomal RNA". It matches the Rfam family "Bacterial small subunit ribosomal RNA", at positions 1175 to 1382 of the family's 1533-position model. Lineage: Bacteria; Pseudomonadati; Pseudomonadota; Gammaproteobacteria; Enterobacterales; Enterobacteriaceae. The record is from RNAcentral.